CCAAACUGUUGCCUCGGCGGGGUCACGCCCCGGGUGCGUCGCAGCCCCGGAACCAGGCGCCCGCCGGAGGGACCAACCAAACUCUUUUCUGUAGUGUCCCCUCGCGGACGUUAUUUCUUACAGCUCUGAGCAAAAAUUCAAAAUGAAUCAAAACUUUCAACAACGGAUCUCUUGGUUCUGGCAUCGAUGAAGAACGCAGCGAAAUGCGAUAAGUAAUGUGAAUUGCAGAAUUCAGUGAAUCAUCGAAUCUUUGAACGCACAUUGCGCCCGCCAGUAUUCUGGCGGGCAUGCCUGUCCGAGCGUCAUUUCAACCCUCGAACCCCUCCGGGGGGUCGGCGUUGGGGACCUCGGGAGCCCCUAAGACGGGAUCCCGGCCCCGAAAUACAGUGGCGGUCUCGCCGCAGCCUCUCCUGCGCAGUAGUUUGCACAACUCGCACCGGGAGCGCGGCGCGUCCACGUCCGUAAAACACCCAACUUCUGAAAUGUUGACCUCGGAUCAGGUAGGAAUACCCGCUGAACUUAAGCAUAUCAAAAGCCGGAGGAA
RNAcentral lists this ribosomal RNA (544 nucleotides) under Trichoderma atroviride. RNAcentral's name for it is "eukaryotic LSU rRNA". The stretch from base 152 to 305 matches the Rfam family "5.8S ribosomal RNA". The record is from RNAcentral. Lineage: Eukaryota; Fungi; Ascomycota; Sordariomycetes; Hypocreales; Hypocreaceae.